RNAcentral lists this ribosomal RNA (497 nucleotides) under uncultured bacterium. RNAcentral describes it as "partial 16S ribosomal RNA". It matches the Rfam family "Bacterial small subunit ribosomal RNA", at positions 28 to 507 of the family's 1533-position model. The record is from RNAcentral.
GACGAACGCUGGCGGCGUGCCUAAUACAUGCAAGUCGAGCGAACGGACGAGAAGCUUGCUUCUCUGAUGUUAGCGGCGGACAGGUGAGUAACACGUGGAUAACCUACCUAUAAGACUGGGAUAACUUCGGGAAACCGGAGCUAAUACCGGAUAAUAUUUUGAACCGCAUGGUUCAAAAGUGAAAGACGGUCUUGCUGUCACUUAUAGAUGGAUCCGCGCUGCAUUAGCUAGUUGGUAAGGUAACGGCUUACCAAGGCAACGAUGCAUAGCCGACCUGAGAGGGUGAUCGGCCACACUGGAACUGAGACACGGUCCAGACUCCUACGGGAGGCAGCAGUAGGGAAUCUUCCGCAAUGGGCGAAAGCCUGACGGAGCAACGCCGCGUGAGUGAUGAAGGUCUUCGGAUCGUAAAACUCUGUUAUUAGGGAAGAACAUAUGUGUAAGUAACUGUGCACAUCUUGACGGUACCUAAUCAGAAAGCCACGGCUAACUACGUG